AAGUAAUUUGCUGUCUGAGUCUCCGCCCCCAAGACCCGCGGCCGCAAGCUCCGGAGUGCGGCUUCCCCGGCCGGCGAACUGCGCGAUGGGCUGCGGGAACUCCCGGGCAGAGGCCCUGCAGGAGCAGCCAAAGAUGUAACAGAAGAAUCCAUAACAGAAGAUGACAAGAGGAGAAACUAUGGAGGAGUAUAUGUUGGCCUACCAUCUGAAGCUGUCAAUAUGGUGUCCAGUCAAACAAAGACGGUUCGGAAAAAUUAGAAGAAAAUAACAUCAUGACUCAAGAAUCAGGAGCAUGCUCAUCAAUUUGGAAGGAAUUUGGCUCUGUGGGACAUUGUACUGUGCACAGACAUUUCCAAGGAAAUUCUAAACAGUCACCCUUCCCUCUUGCAUUUCCCCAAAUCUUAAGCGUAUACAUAAAACCCUGGGUACAUACUGUUGUGGUAAUAGAAGGGAAUUGGUUAAACAGUACACUUUAUGGAACUUUCUGUGGCCACCUACGAAAGACAAGUUAACAAACUGUCAUGGAGGCUGCUGUUGCCUAGCCAGGGCUGCUGCAUUUUGACAUUUCCACCGUGGCCACUCAACACAUUUCAUGGAGGUCAUGUCUUUUCACUGAUGCUUUUUGAUAGUUUUUAUAUAACAAAAUCCUUAUUCUAUUUAUAACUUAAGAUGAUAAGGCACUAUAAAUGAAUGACCUAAAAUAAUAUAUUUGUCUGUUAUCUUUCGCUAUUUCUACUUCACUUUAAUUUUUAGCUGUAAAAUUGGUAAAUGGAUUCUUACAACUAUCUCUUUCUGUUUUUCACUAUUUGGUUUUCAAAUUUCAUUUAAAUGUCAGAAUUUCCUUUUUAGGAACAAUGUGUAUUUCAUUGCAAUAUUUAAAAAUAAACUCAAAUUUGCAUGCCAUAUGCACACACACACACAAAAAGUAAUUUGCCUACGUUUGUUGUUAGUAAUACAUACAAAAGUUCUUGCUGGAAAUUGUGCUAAGGCCUAAUUUUGAUUCAACUAAUACAGACGCAUAAAAUGCCUUCAAUUUCCCUUUACAUCAUCCCAACAAUGGGUAUCUGAACUUCUCCUUUGGUGGUUAAAUAAUAAUGAUUUAUUUUGUCUUUUAAAAAAAUUAAAACCAAGAGGGAGUGAAUGUUUUACCAUGAGUACUUAUUACUUUUGAAACUAGAAAUAAUUCUCUAUUUUUACAAAAGGGUAAACAUAUUUCUCUCCAGGGUAAAGAGAAAACAAUGGGCAUAAUAACAUAGUGACUGAUGCUCAGAAACAUAACUAAAUUAUCAUUUUAUCUCAGUAACCCAACAGGGUGUAACAGGAAGUAAGGCUUGGUAGGGUGUAAUUUGCAUUGCAAUCGGCUUUUUUCCCCAUGUUAAGUAAGGCAGUUUGAAGUAAGUUUUUUUAAACAACAUGAAAAAAUACAACAAAAAUGUUCUAGUCCAAGGCCAGAACACAGUUUUAUAUGAUCUGCAGAUAAUUUAGUAUUUGAGAAGCCUUUUCAACAUUCUCUGACUCCAAUGAAAACUAAAGCAAAACUUGGGAGGAAAAAAAUAAAUAAGCAAAUAAAACAGUAUCUGUAUAAUUAUCCACAGAUCAAACAAUUUAGGGACAAUAAAAUAGAGCAACAUUUCAGCUAGGUCAGGUGCAAAAUAAUGGAACAACUAUUCACUGUUUAUUCAUAUUUCACACAUUCACUAACAACAAAAAUUCUGGCUAGUUUUACUGUUAAUAUAUUUGGGAUGAUUGCUUUAUUAGUCAAAGGACUUAAAAUCCAUUUUGUGUAAGUUGAAUAGCUAGGGCAUCAUAGAUAUAGGAUAAUCAGCCUUCUUGGUUUGCUCUAGCCCUCCUUCCUCCACAAACACACUAUUAGGUCCACAUUUUGAGCCUUUGAAAGAGUAGAAAAAAUGCCAUGCUGUAGAUGCAGAGAGGAUAUCAUGGGACUUUGUCUGCCCUGCUUCUGAUGCCAGGAGGCACUUUAUUGUAGAGAACUGAGCCUCCUGUGUGCCAAUCCUGACCCUAACCUUUGCUGCCAAUCAGAGCCACUGCUCGCACAGGUUGGCUCCAGACCUGGCUGGUUCCAUCACAGUUCUCAGCACUCCUGAGAUAGCAUUUGAUGCAGCCACAGACUUGUUAUCCAGGUGCGGCCAAUGUGAGAUCUUCCCUAAAACUCUCCUCCCUGAAGGCCUUUAAGGAGUGAAACAGAAAAGAAAAAACAACAACAACAACAACAACAACAAAAA
RNA transcript from Cercocebus atys (sooty mangabey), 2243 nucleotides. It is a transcript of the gene named overexpressed in colon carcinoma 1 protein pseudogene, with no coding region annotated. The transcript has a single exon. Lineage: Eukaryota; Metazoa; Chordata; Mammalia; Primates; Cercopithecidae. The record is from RefSeq and is a predicted model, not a curated record.